GUCCAGUUGGUGGCAGUAGUGCACCUUAAGAGGCCGAGUGUGGGCGAGAGAGAACGAGUGUGCGGGUAAAGUAUCAAAUAAACAUACUGAACCAUUUUAACUUGUACGGUAGCAUUAAGUUGAGGUAUCCUGCAGUUUUUAAAUAUGCCUAAAAACUUUUAUUAUCAAUUAUAAACUAUUGUAUGUAGUCAAGGGAUUGGGGGCGUAUACAACUCGCCUGCGUGUGUUGCGUCAUCAGCUUGAAUCGCAGACGCAGACUGAGGUGGAGCUGAAUCAGACAAGAGACAUGCGGCUGGAUCAAAGUUACGGCAGAGGACACACUUUGCAUGGCUUGAUGGUGUUGUGAACUGGAAGAAAUAAAACAUUCAAGGCUCCUCCGACAACAAUUAUCCUCUUUGAAAGUUUAUACCGAAGGACAAUGUUCUUUAGUUUAAAACCUUUUGUUUUGUUAUUGAGAUGAUCAAGAACUGUUCUUAUGUUCUGUGAUAUGUUUGAUCUAAUGAGAAAAUUAGAAAGAGCCAAUAAACUCUCCACUGUUUUUCAGAAAAAUCCUUCAGUUUCUGGAUAUUCUCUCCUUUUCCAGCAUCUUAUUAAGCUCCAUAUUAAAGCUUACCUGGGGAAGAGUCUGUACUUUAUCCGGUUGUUAAGUCAUGACGUAAGGAAUUUUGUUUCCGGGUUCAAGCCUCCACUCAUUCAAUAGAGGAUAUUAUUUAAACAGCCCUUUAUGAGCACUAUUUAUUCAUAUCACACAUUUAAGAUAUAUUUUAUAAACUUGCAGACACAUUCUCUAAGCUCACAACGUCACAGACAACAAUACUUUAACAAUUCAUAGACGAUUAAUUAUUUCCGGUCAUCAGGGAUUUCAGUAUGGAGAUAAAGGUUAGGAUUGCGAUUUUUCGGUAGUUUUACACUGCACUGUAAGUGUAAAUUAUUAUUGUAUGUUGUUUAUUUAAGGUAUCUGAUGGGAGCGUUUGGACCCAGAAGUUGUGCUGUCAGACUUAACAACCGGAUACAUACUAGGGACAAACUCUCCUGGAAAAGCACUUCUGAUAUUACUAAUACAACUUUUGUUUCUCAACAAAUAAUUGUAUCAUGUUUGGUAUUAUUUUCAAUUUAAAGGUACUUUAUUGGCAUGAUUGUUUGUAGUCACAAUAUUGCCAAGCAUAUACAUUAAACGCAAUAGUAACAAACACA
Misgurnus anguillicaudatus (oriental weatherfish) is the source of this 1194-nucleotide non-coding RNA. Lineage: Eukaryota; Metazoa; Chordata; Actinopteri; Cypriniformes; Cobitidae. The record is from RefSeq and is a predicted model, not a curated record.